Trematomus bernacchii (emerald rockcod) is the source of this 495-nucleotide long non-coding RNA. RefSeq lists it as uncharacterized. Lineage: Eukaryota; Metazoa; Chordata; Actinopteri; Perciformes; Nototheniidae. The record is from RefSeq and is a predicted model, not a curated record. The transcript has 4 exons.
CAACCUACAACUGCGCACCUACGUCUGUUGCCCUGACAACUGCAGCACCUACAACGGCUCGAUCUGCAACUACAGCGCCUACUACUAUAGCCCUUAGAAGGGUGACUUUCCGUUCUGUCCUAGACACAUUUACUAUUGAAUUGGAGGAUCCAUCUUCUGAUGAUUUUAAAGGUCGGGCUACAUUGGUGAAGGAACAGCUUACACCUGUUUACGAAAAAGCAUUCCCUUCGUCCUUCAAAUCACUAGAUGUUGUUUCAUUCAGUAACGGAUCAAUCAUCAGCGUCAUUGAGGUUUCAUUUGUAAGCACUCUGCUCCUAAUAACACUGAGAUUGAGAACACUUUGAUCAACGCAACAGUCGCUGGAUUCGACAUUGAAAGCAGCUCCAUUAGCGUAAAUGGCAUAUCUUCCACUGCUGCUCCAACGAACAGUAGCACCUACAACUACUGCUGCUCCGACAACGGUGCAAACCUACAACUACUGCUUCACCUACAACU